UGGAGCAUGUGGUUAAUUCGAAGCAACGCGAAGAACCUUACCAGGUCUUGACAUCCCGAUGCUAUUCUAGAGAUAGAAAGUUACUUCGGUACAUCGGUGACAGGUGGUGCAUGGUUGUCGUCAGCUCGUGUCGUGAGAUGUUGGGUUAAGUCCCGCAACGAGCGCAACCCCUAUUGUUAGUUGCCAUCAUUCAGUUGGGCACUCUAGCGAGACUGCCGGUAAUAAACCGGAGGAAGUGGGGAUGACGUCAAAUCAUCAUGCCCCUUAUGACCUGGGCUACACACGUGCUACAAUGGUUGGUACAACGAGUUGCGAGUCGGUGACGGCGAGCUAAUCUCUUAAAGCCAAUCUCAGUUCGGAUUGUAGGCUGCAACUCGCCUACAUGAAGUCGGAAUCGCUAGUAAUCGCGGAUCAGCACGCCGCGGUGAAUACGUUCCCGGGCCUU
This 445-nucleotide ribosomal RNA is filed under the name uncultured Streptococcus sp. Its description in RNAcentral is "bacterial SSU rRNA". It matches the Rfam family "Bacterial small subunit ribosomal RNA", at positions 933 to 1382 of the family's 1533-position model. The record is from RNAcentral. Lineage: Bacteria; Bacillati; Bacillota; Bacilli; Lactobacillales; Streptococcaceae.